AUUAACCAAACAAUUAGAAUGAGCUUGAUUAGUAUCAUUCCAAUGAUUUUUUUGAUAUUACUAUCAUUUACGUGGCAUCUCCUGAUUGGUCGCAUUUGUCAAAAAUAAGAAAAAAAUAUUUAUCUAUUAAACAAAUAUUAUAAAUAAUACUAAAAUUUUUUAAUGAUAGUUUGUUAGUAUCACCUAUAACCAUGCUCUUAAUAAUUAGGAUAUAAAACAUGUGAAUGAGAGAAGUGGACCCUAGUGAUCUUUGUUUGUAGUGGCCUCAAGAUUUUACUUUAGUCCCAAAUUCGGAGGAAAUUAUUUUUGUUAAUUAAUCAUUUAUUCUUUCUUUUGUUCUACCUCAUUCCAACUUACA
RNAcentral lists this small RNA (358 nucleotides) under Arabidopsis thaliana (thale cress). RNAcentral describes it as "ATSL000720". The record is from RNAcentral. Lineage: Eukaryota; Viridiplantae; Streptophyta; Magnoliopsida; Brassicales; Brassicaceae.